UAAUAUUUUUGCAAAACUGGUGAGCCAUAAAAAGCUUUAAAAGGGAACUGGGUGAAAAUCCCAGACAGACCCGCUGCUGUAAGCUUCACACAAGGUUUUCGGAAGUUAGAUCCACUGUUCUUAGAAUGGGAAGGAUUCCGAAAAUGAAGUAAGUCAGAAGACCUGCCAGUAAGUUUAACGUUUG
This 184-nucleotide non-coding RNA is filed under the name Soonwooa buanensis. The record is from RNAcentral. Lineage: Bacteria; Pseudomonadati; Bacteroidota; Flavobacteriia; Flavobacteriales; Weeksellaceae.